Molecule: ribosomal RNA, 470 nt
Filed under: uncultured Geobacillus sp.
Lineage: Bacteria; Bacillati; Bacillota; Bacilli; Caryophanales; Anoxybacillaceae
Description: bacterial SSU rRNA
Rfam family: Bacterial small subunit ribosomal RNA
Source: RNAcentral
GACGGGGCCCGCACAAGCGGUGGAGCAUGUGGUUAAUUCGAAGCAACGCGAAGAACCUUACCAGGUCUUGACAUCCCCUGACAACCCAAGAGAUUGGGCGUUCCCCCUUCGGGGGACAGGGUGACAGGUGGUGCAUGGUUGUCGUCAGCUCGUGUCGUGAGAUGUUGGGUUAAGUCCCGCAACGAGCGCAACCCUCGCCUCUAGUUGCCAGCAUUCGGUUGGGCACUCUAGAGGGACUGCCGGCGACAAGUCGGAGGAAGGUAGGGAUGACGUCAAAUCAUCAUGCCCCUUAUGACCUGGGCUACACACGUGCUACAAUGGGCGGUACAAAGGGCUGCGAACCCGCGAGGUGGAGCUAAUCCCAAAAAGCCGCUCUCAGUUCGGAUUGCAGGCUGCAACUCGCCUGCAUGAAGCCGGAAUCGCUAGUAAUCGCGGAUCAGCAUGCCGCGGUGAAUACGUUCCCGGGCCUU